CAGAAAAAUUUUAUAUUGGAUGCUGACAUGGGAAGCAGGUAUAAAGCCUGCACGGUCCCGCCGCUGUAAUUGAAGAGUUCUCCAGGGAAUGCCACUGGUUAAACCCGGGAAGGUCUGGAGAAUGAUGACGCUUGAGUCAGAAUACCUGUCCGCAUCCAGGAAACGGC
Molecule: non-coding RNA, 167 nt
Filed under: Ruminiclostridium hungatei
Lineage: Bacteria; Bacillati; Bacillota; Clostridia; Eubacteriales; Oscillospiraceae
Source: RNAcentral